UGACGGUAGUCCUUGGCUGUGUCGGCCUUUCUGUAGGUUACAGAUCCGGUGAGAGGCGACACAACACGGGCUAAAAUGCAGCAGAGCUGGACGCAGUUAUACCGCUCUCUGGCCACGAGGAGCCACCACCUUCCCUGCAAACUGCACGGAGCCUCAGUGCUGUCUGUCAGGAGCUACGCUGACAAAGCAGCAAUUGAUGCAGACGUCACGGUGGUGGGCUCAGGUCCAGGCGGCUACGUUGCUGCCAUCAAAGCGGCGCAGCUCGGCUUCAAGGUAAGCAUAUAAUAUAUAUU
Anarrhichthys ocellatus (wolf-eel) is the source of this 293-nucleotide long non-coding RNA. RefSeq lists it as uncharacterized. The transcript has 3 exons. Lineage: Eukaryota; Metazoa; Chordata; Actinopteri; Perciformes; Anarhichadidae. The record is from RefSeq and is a predicted model, not a curated record.